GCCGGCAGCUAGCUCUCUGCGACUCUCACAUGGUCGCUAUAAGCAGAGCUGCGCCCGGUUAGUACCUGGAUGAGAGACCACAUGGGAAAGCUAGGUUACUGCCGGAA
RNAcentral lists this ribosomal RNA (107 nucleotides) under Danio rerio (zebrafish). Lineage: Eukaryota; Metazoa; Chordata; Actinopteri; Cypriniformes; Danionidae. The record is from RNAcentral.